RNAcentral lists this transfer RNA (72 nucleotides) under Taenia asiatica. It matches the Rfam family "tRNA". From Rfam's summary of the family: Transfer RNA (tRNA) molecules are approximately 80 nucleotides in length. Lineage: Eukaryota; Metazoa; Platyhelminthes; Cestoda; Cyclophyllidea; Taeniidae. The record is from Rfam by way of RNAcentral.
GGCUCAGUGGUCUGGGGAUAUGAUUCGCAAUUCGGGUGCACGAGGUCCCGGGUUCAAAUCCCGGCUGAGCCC